AACGAACGCUGGCGGCAUGCCUAACACAUGCAAGUCGAACGAAACCUUCGGGUCUAGUGGCGCACGGGUGCUUAACGCGUGGGAACCUGCCCUUAAGUUCGGAAUACCUCCCUGUAGGGUGUGCUAAUACCGGUUAAUGUCUUCGGACCAAAGAUUUCUCGCCUUUGGAUGGGCCCGCGUUGGAUUCGCUGGUUGGUAGUGUAAAAGCCUACCAAGGCGACGAUCCAUAGCUGGUCUGAGAGGAGGAUCAACGACACUGGGACUGAGACACGGCCCAGACUCCUACGGAAGGGAGGAGUGGGGAAUAUUGGACGAGGGGCGAAAGUCUGAUAAAGCAAUGCCGCGGGAGAGAGGAAGGCGGUAGGGUUGUAAAGCUCUUUUAGACGAGAUGAGAAUGACAGUACUGGGAGAAUAAGCACCGGCUAACUACGUG
This 433-nucleotide ribosomal RNA is filed under the name uncultured bacterium. RNAcentral's name for it is "partial 16S ribosomal RNA". It matches the Rfam family "Bacterial small subunit ribosomal RNA", at positions 29 to 507 of the family's 1533-position model. The record is from RNAcentral.